Molecule: long non-coding RNA, 1068 nt
Filed under: Ornithorhynchus anatinus (platypus)
Lineage: Eukaryota; Metazoa; Chordata; Mammalia; Monotremata; Ornithorhynchidae
Description: lncRNA (ENSOANG00000041818.1)
Source: RNAcentral
AUGCUUCUGUUUUUCCACCUAAAGGGGAGAGUUCUCGCCCUUCCCCUUUCCCUACGAAUCAUUGUGCUGACCCUCAGGGGGCUGGGCUCCUCUAUUCAUUGCAAUAACAUCCCAGACCCCCGGGCCCCUCCCCAGGCUCAAAGGGCAGGGGCAGAGGGGAUCGACUGGCAGCAGAGACUUCCCAGCGGUUGUCAGUUUUGGGCCAUUGCCCAUCUUGCCCUGUGGGACCAUUUUGAGUCCAUCUGCCCCUCCCCUACAGCUGCCGCACUCCCCCCCCCCCCCAGCCAUGCACUGCGCAGGCAUUACACUGUGACCCCUCGGCAUAUCCCCCCCACCCUCACCAACAGCCAGCGGCUGGGCCUGGGCCCUCCCCUCCCGUCGUUGUCAGUAAAAUUGUUUGGGGCGACUCUGACUCGGCCUCUUCUUAUACCUCCUGUGGUAGCAGGGGGCUUCUCCGGCUGGCAGCCCGCUUCUCCCGGCCCCCUCCUCGGGGCUCCCACCCUGGGGGUGGGCUCUGAGAAUCCGUGGGGGUCUCAGGCUCCUUCUCCAGCCUCAGCAUGCUCUCAGGCUUGCUGCACCCCCCGUUUCCCCAGCACGGAAAGGACGCCCACCCACGUUCACAAAAGCACCCUCCGACCGGGUCCGCCGGAUGGCACCUCCUUCCGAGAGCCCGCGCUGCACUGUCUUGUGGGGAGGAAGGCACAGCCCAGAGUCAGCCAAGGCAGAUCACCCCCACCUCCCCUAUCCCCACGCCCAUACCCUCUCCGAAUCUCUCCCACGGGCUACAUUUGUUUCCCCAGGCUGGCUGCCUUUGAGCAAAGAGGGAUCCAGGGGAGGGGGCCGCAUCAGGUGGGGUGGAUGGUCCGCUCUGGGUCACCGAGGAAGAGCCGGAGCCAGAGUAGGGAAAGUCAGAGGGGAUGGGGUGAGAUGAGCCAUGCUGGGUCACUAAAGGGAGGGCUGGCGACGGAGAGGGGAAGAGCGAGGGACAUGGGAUGGUCCGGGCCGGGCCCCUGGGGGAGUCGGAUGUGUCGGACGACCCGCUCUGGGUCACUGAGGGAGAGUCAGUAA